AACUUUUUGAGAGUUUGAUCCUGGCUCAGGACGAACGCUGGCGGCGUGCCUAAUACAUGCAAGUCGAGCGCGGGAAGCAAGUUGAUCCCUUCGGG
Molecule: ribosomal RNA, 95 nt
Filed under: Scopulibacillus darangshiensis
Lineage: Bacteria; Bacillati; Bacillota; Bacilli; Caryophanales; Sporolactobacillaceae
Description: partial 16S ribosomal RNA
Rfam family: Bacterial small subunit ribosomal RNA
Source: RNAcentral